GGUGCUCACAGCACAGUCACAGACACGGGAAACCACAGAGCCGAGAGCAGCCAGGGCCCUCGAGAGACCGUUGCAGCCCAACUCCUUUAUCUCAAUGAGAGAAAGCAGAGGUUUAGAGAGGAAUAGGUCACUGGCAAGCCCUGGGAGGUGCGAGGGCCUCCUGCACCCUACGAAGCUCCUUCUCGGCCUUACUGGGCAUGGAUGGGUUCGUGCUGACCGGGCGGAGGCUGGGGUGGCCUGCGAGGCACCGUCUCUCCCACCAGCCUCCUGACAUCUUUUGUUUUGGCACACGGCCUGCCCUACCCUCCGGAGUUUUGAGUGCGAUGAGGUUGAGAACAGCUACGCAGUGGUCAGCUCUGUGUCACUCAGCAGACCACACCCCCAACAUCCUGUUGAUCAGGUGGUCACUUGGCAUUGUCGCCCCAGCCACAGGGAGUUAAAAAGAAACCCAACCUCAAGGAAGCAAAGCAAAAUCCAUUCUGUGGCCGAGAUUCUUGAAGACGGGCCUGGACGUCCCUCCCUGGCAGAACGUGCCUCCCCGACACGGACACUCCACAGCCUCAACCCUGUACGUGACCCUCACCGGGGCACCACAUGCAGAGGACAGUCCUUGUGGGACAUUUCCCACGUCCCACCCGGGGGUCCAGCUCCGACCCCCGGAAGAGCGAGCCAGGUGCCUGGGGUGCAGAAGCGUGUUCGGUGCCUGGCUCCAUGGUCCUUCCUUUUCCCACACUGGACGGGCACAGGGUUUCCGCCCCAGUGCCACACUCAUCAACCUGGGCGCCUGCAUGUCAGUGCGGGGCUGAUGGUGCCAGCUGAUAGAUCAGGUGCACAUUUGAGUUGUAGCUCACCUGGUAACUAUCCAGGUCUUUCCGUUCUGCCGUGUGCGGUGAGAGUUCAGAAGUACAAGCUCGCUUGCACGUGUUCUCAAGCCAGCAGCAGUCCUUUGGGGGAUCUCAUGUGCAAGUGCAGGAGCCAAAGCCAGGCCUGCUUCAACCAGGACCACUCACCCCAGCCCAGCACUGGAUGCCCCGAGGCUGCUGUAGGGUACUUGCUGUGGCCGUUGGGUCCACACGCUGGCUUCCUCUACUUUCCCAUACGUGAGAGCAGUGGUCCUGUUAACCAGUGAACCCAGCUGUGUGAUCCCCGGGCUGUGCCCAUGAAACUCAACAUCUCCCCCUGGGAACCACAGGUGCCCUCUAAGUGGCGCCCAGUGUUGCUGGGGGAGGG
This 1230-nucleotide long non-coding RNA is filed under the name Oryctolagus cuniculus (rabbit). RNAcentral's name for it is "lncRNA (ENSOCUG00000034981.1)". The record is from RNAcentral. Lineage: Eukaryota; Metazoa; Chordata; Mammalia; Lagomorpha; Leporidae.